GUGCCAGCAGCCGCGGUAAUACCGGCGGCACGAGUGAUGGCCGAUGUUAUUGGGCCUAAAGCGUCCGUAGCCUGCCAAUCAGGUUCGUCGGGAAAUCCACGCGCUCAACGUGUGGGCGUCCGGCGAAUACCGAUUGGCUUGGGACCGGAGGACCCGAGGGGUACGUCCGGGGUAGGAGUGAAAUCCUGUAAUCCCGGACGGACCACCGGUGGCGAAAGCGCCUCGGGAGGACGGAUCCGACGGUGAGGGACGAAAGCUGGGGUCACGAACCGGAUUAGAAACCCUAGUAGUCC
This 293-nucleotide ribosomal RNA is filed under the name uncultured bacterium. RNAcentral's name for it is "partial 16S ribosomal RNA". It matches the Rfam family "Archaeal small subunit ribosomal RNA", at positions 455 to 747 of the family's 1478-position model. The record is from RNAcentral.